GCCAGACUGAAGCAGCGCCGUUGUGAAGGUGGGCGCCAUCAUCUUGUCUUUGCAGUGCUGAUUCUGAAGAGAACGCCUUCACAUAGGACUCAAAGGAAAUCAAUGUCCAAAGGAAACAGCAGUCCAGACUCUGAUUCCAGCUCCGAUGCCCUCAGAUUCAGAUCCAUCAGCAACCCCUGACAACAUGGAGGACUCGUCCCCUGAGCGUUUCCUGUCCUCUCUCGAUGGAGUUUUUCUCUUUAGUCAUUAACUCUUGAAAACAGUAGCACAAAAUGCCAGACUGUUUGACAAGUGUGUGAUUGAAUAAAUUGAAAUGGAAUCUCAUGCAUAUCUUGCUAUGCUUAUUGGCUUUAAAUGUUUAAUGUUAAAUAAGUUUGAAGGCCAUCUAUCUUAGACGAGACCGGCUGUGACAAGCUGAGCUCAUCUGUUAGCUUUGCUGUUGUCUCAGCUGUUGUUGGUCAAGAAGAAAUUAAUGUCAGUUCAAGGCCUUUUCAAAUGUGAACUAUAAACUUAACUGCUAAAUUAUUUUACUGUGACCAACACUUUGUAGUGCUCCAGAUAAUCAGAGACAGUCAUAUCAGAUUUUUAAAAAGUUUAUUUAAACAUUUUAUGAAAAAAAAUCUUCAAUAAACAACCCCUGGCUUCAUU
Long non-coding RNA from Labrus mixtus (cuckoo wrasse), 648 nucleotides. RefSeq lists it as uncharacterized. The record is from RefSeq and is a predicted model, not a curated record. The transcript is spliced from 3 exons. Lineage: Eukaryota; Metazoa; Chordata; Actinopteri; Labriformes; Labridae.